Long non-coding RNA from Motacilla alba alba, 369 nucleotides. RefSeq lists it as uncharacterized. The record is from RefSeq and is a predicted model, not a curated record. NCBI's taxonomy places the organism in Eukaryota, Metazoa, Chordata, Aves, Passeriformes, Motacillidae. The transcript is spliced from 3 exons.
GAAUGCAAGCAGGAGAAGUCAUUAACAUAUACACAUGAAUGCAUUUUCUAAAUGAAACUUAAGAACACAGCAGAAGUAAGGGACCGAGGAAAGUUUUCUUCAAUUUAUGAAUCUGACAAGACACAUCACAGAAUAAUUAUCUUUUUUCUAAACUUCUCCUGAAGAUCUGCAGUGAUGGGACUCCAGCUCCUCAACUUGCUUUUACAAGCUCAGGUUUAAAAUCCUGCUCCAACAUGCUUAGGAAUCCUUAAUGCUGACCCCUACUGUGACCAGCUGGCCAUCUUUCCAUCUUUUUCUCCUAGAGACUGCCUUUACUUCAGGAAAAGCAGUGUUUGCAGAUGGAAUUUUACAAAUAAAGGCAGAAUCAAG